Molecule: non-coding RNA, 91 nt
Filed under: uncultured Peptostreptococcus sp.
Lineage: Bacteria; Bacillati; Bacillota; Clostridia; Peptostreptococcales; Peptostreptococcaceae
Source: RNAcentral
AUAAGGGGGAGCUGAUAGAUCGGCUGAGAAAAGGAUGUGAGCCUUGACCCUUGAACCUGAUUUGGAUAAUGCCAACGUAGGAAGAAAUAUA